This 585-nucleotide ribosomal RNA is filed under the name uncultured bacterium. RNAcentral's name for it is "partial 16S ribosomal RNA". It matches the Rfam family "Bacterial small subunit ribosomal RNA", at positions 355 to 937 of the family's 1533-position model. The record is from RNAcentral.
UGGGGAAUUUUGGACAAUGGGCGAAAGCCUGAUCCAGCAAUGCCGCGUGUGUGAAGAAGGCCUUCGGGUUGUAAAGCACUUUUGUCCGGAAAGAAAUCCUUGGCUCUAAUACAGUCGGGGGAUGACGGUACCGGAAGAAUAAGCACCGGCUAACUACGUGCCAGCAGCCGCGGUAAUACGUAGGGUGCAAGCGUUAAUCGGAAUUACUGGGCGUAAAGCGUGCGCAGGCGGUUUGCUAAGACCGAUGUGAAAUCCCCGGGCUCAACCUGGGAACUGCAUUGGUGACUGGCAGGCUAGAGUAUGGCAGAGGGGGGUAGAAUUCCACGUGUAGCAGUGAAAUGCGUAGAGAUGUGGAGGAAUACCGAUGGCGAAGGCAGCCCCCUGGGCCAAUACUGACGCUCAUGCACGAAAGCGUGGGGAGCAAACAGGAUUAGAUACCCUGGUAGUCCACGCCCUAAACGAUGUCAACUAGUUGUUGGGGGAUUCAUUUCCUUAGUAACGUAGCUAACGCGUGAAGUUGACCGCCUGGGGAGUACGGUCGCAAGAUUAAAACUCAAAUGAAUUAACGGGGUCAUAGCUGUUUCC